Small nuclear RNA from Hyla sarda, 194 nucleotides. RefSeq annotates it as U2 spliceosomal RNA. The record is from RefSeq and is a predicted model, not a curated record. The transcript has a single exon. Lineage: Eukaryota; Metazoa; Chordata; Amphibia; Anura; Hylidae.
AUUGCUUCUCUGCCUUUUUAUAAGAUUAAGUGUAGUAUCUGUUCUUGUCAGUUUAAUAUCUGAUACGUCCCUAUCUUGGGACCAUAUAUUAAAUUGGAUUUUUGAGAACGGGGGCCGAUUUUGAAGCUUGCUUCCGUUGCAAUAUGCAUUGACCUGAUGUGAAACUAGUAUGUGUAAAUGUAAGUGCAUUUCAA